This 494-nucleotide ribosomal RNA is filed under the name uncultured bacterium. Its description in RNAcentral is "partial 16S ribosomal RNA". It matches the Rfam family "Bacterial small subunit ribosomal RNA", at positions 355 to 864 of the family's 1533-position model. The record is from RNAcentral.
UGGGGAAUAUUGCACAAUGGGCGAAAGCCUGAUGCAGCAACGCCGCGUGAGUGAUGAAGGUCUUCGGAUUGUAAAGCUCUGUCUUUUGGGACGAUAAUGACGGUACCAAAGGAGGAAGCCACGGCUAACUACGUGCCAGCAGCCGCGGUAAUACGUAGGUGGCGAGCGUUGUCCGGAUUUACUGGGCGUAAAGGGUGCGUAGGCGGAUGUUUAAGUGAGAUGUGAAAUACCCGGGCUUAACUUGGGUGCUGCAUUUCAAACUGGAUAUCUAGAGUGCAGGAGAGGAGAAUGGAAUUCCUAGUGUAGCGGUGAAAUGCGUAGAGAUUAGGAAGAACACCAGUGGCGAAGGCGAUUCUCUGGACUGUAACUGACGCUGAGGCACGAAAGCGUGGGUAGCAAACAGGAUUAGAUACCCUGGUAGUCCACGCCGUAAACGAUGAGUACUAGGUGUAGGAGGUAUCGACCCCUUCUGUGCCGCAGUAAAACACAUUAAG